AAUAUUGCACAAUGGGCGCAAGCCUGAUGCAGCAAUGCCGCGUGAGGGAUGACGGACUUCGGGUUGUAAACCACUUUUAGUAGGGAAGAAGCGGAAGUGACGGUACCUGCAGAAACAGCACUGGCUAACUACGUGCCAGCAGCCGUGGUAAGACGGAGGGUGCAAGCGUUGGCCGGAAUUAUUGGGCGUAAAGAGCUCGUAGGCGGCUUGUCGCGUCUGCUGUGAAAUCCCGGGGCUCAACCCCGGGCCUGCAGUGGGUACGGGCAGGCUAGAGUGCGGUAGGGGAGAUUGGAAUUCCUGGUGUAGCGGUGGAAUGCGCAGAUAUCAGAAGGAACACCGAUGGCGAAGGCAGAUCUCUGGGCCGCUACUGACGCUGAGGAGCGAAAGCAUGGGGAGCGAACA
This 402-nucleotide ribosomal RNA is filed under the name uncultured bacterium. RNAcentral's name for it is "partial 16S ribosomal RNA". It matches the Rfam family "Bacterial small subunit ribosomal RNA", at positions 360 to 774 of the family's 1533-position model. The record is from RNAcentral.